GGGAAGGGGCAGGACAGGUGAAGUUUACCACAGGAGCCAAGGCCUUGAACCCACCAGCAAGGGUUCUUGCUGGAACUCGCAGUAUCUCAUCAUGGUUAGAUGGUGAGAUCUCGCCUGAGGAGAGUGGGGUGGCAGCAGGAGACAGCUCACAAAAGGAACUCCACAAUGUUUGUUUCUGAUGCUCCUGGGGCUGUUGUCAGCAUGGAUAAGAAAUCCAGAAGACCUCAGAAGAGAUGCCAAGGGAUGACUUUGAGCUCGUGUCUUUGCUGCGUAUCUAGACUCUCUUGGAGAACUAGCAGGUCUGGGAUGGGAAUAGAGAAACAGAAUCACACAAGUGAAAUGAUCUGCCUGGGGUCUCUAAAGCUGAUUAGCAGCGCAGCCAGAAUUAGAAUCGCCUACUUUGGAGGUCAUUUCUCCAUGCCACCUGCCUGGUAGAGGAAUGUCUGCUGGGUGCUUAGGUUCAUCAAAAAUCCACAAUUUUAGAAUCUCAAAAAUAAAGAUACUAAAUUUUGGAAAAAGCA
RNAcentral lists this long non-coding RNA (521 nucleotides) under Vulpes vulpes (red fox). Its description in RNAcentral is "lncRNA (ENSVVUG00000030037.1)". Lineage: Eukaryota; Metazoa; Chordata; Mammalia; Carnivora; Canidae. The record is from RNAcentral.